This is a long non-coding RNA of Esox lucius (northern pike), 2124 nucleotides long. The record is from Ensembl. NCBI's taxonomy places the organism in Eukaryota, Metazoa, Chordata, Actinopteri, Esociformes, Esocidae.
AUAUAAAAAACCUCUGUAUACUGUGUACCUGCUGCUAAGGAAAAAAGUGGUUGGCUCGUGCACUGGCUGAGGCUGAAAAAAACAAGUGACCACUCUCAUUUUGUGGAUCAAGCAGCGAGACACACUAGCGAGACAAUUUAAUAAAAAUGUAACGGUAACCUAAGAGAAUAUGUUUAGCUCAAAAGAAAGCAAAUAUGCUAGAAGAAAGGGAGAUAGAUGCCAUUCGAAAACACGAGUGAACUUUGGUGCAGCUGGAUGCUAUUGGGUGGUCUGCGGGUCUGCAGCUGGAUGCUUUUGGCCUAUCCACUGGGUGUGGAACUCAAGGAGCAAAAUGGAUUACAUGGCGAUGCUGAUGUGGCAAUUCUUCGGUUAGAUAAUCAGGGUAAAUAGAAGUGGUCAGCUUCCUGAUAGCAGACAGCAGCAGGCGCUGGUCUGGAGGAUGGGCUUGACAUGCUUAACCACGCAUCCCAGACAGGAACGUCAGGACAUUGUCGUGGUUCCCUAAAUAUCCUCGGGACAACUGCUUGUUGCUGUGAUACUAGCUGGAAUGCCAGUAAAUGUGGCUGGUGUCAGAAAGUUAUUAGUGUGCCAUUGUGUGACUGAGGCAAUGGGGGACCAAAGAGCUGUUCUCUCUGUGGACUCCUGCACUGCACUGCUCAUCUUUCUCAGCUAGUCGACUCACUGAUCAGGAUGAGGGAUGAACUGCACUCACUGCUUACUGAGGUGCAGCUGGACUCUUUGAGCUGUGCCUGUUUUCUCAACCCUCUGGGGGAACGGCAGGUGGGCUUCAGACUAAAUGUCUUCAGACUGUCCCACCUCCACCUGUUGCCGUCCCCCCUCAACAAAUCCAUUGCAUUGCAGACCUCACUCACAGAUGGACAGGGGAAAAGACCAGGGAAUAGAUUUCUGCCUUGGUUUUUAAGUCUUAGCCAUUAAUUACAUCCACCACGCCUUUGGUUCAUCAUAUUCUUUUUUUUCUCUCUUUGAAUGCAACUGUUGUUCAGUUUUCUACAUAAACUCUUUAUUGUCCUACAGCAGAUUUGUAUGUCUAUAAGAAUCCCUGCUUGACUUUAGACAAGAUGUUCAGGAAGGAGAUGGAAAAAGGACAUUGUAUGAAUGAACUUUAGUAUGACUACAUUCUUUUAUUUCAAAUGAUUAUACUUAUUGACCUUCCAGUGUUUUUAGUUUACUUAUGCUAUUUUGCAUUUUCAGGAGCCUAAUAUGGUACUUCACUAGCCAGUUCACUCUAUAACCACUAGAGGGCUAACAUCUCUCUGAGUAGAGGGAUAGGGCAAGUGGGGGAAGUGUGUCUUUCAGUCUCCUCUCCUUACACCUAUACUAUCUACCACUGACACUCAGGUCAGGGGUCAGACAAAAGCCAAUCAGAUUAUGGAAACUGAAACCGUAUUGAAACUUAAAUGAUAUUGAAACGGACGGGGCAGUAAAUCCCUCCGCCCAAAAAUGUCACACACACCUGGACAUCAUUUUAAUUAGGAUAGUAAUUGGUAGUGAUGUCACUUUUAGAUAAGAUGAUAAUUUCUUUGAAUGGAGUGAUCAUGUGACCAUAGCGCGCCUUUAAUCAUAAGUCAUGAAAAAAAUCUGCAUUUUAAAUGUAGUUGAAAACAGGUGAAUGAAGCGUGUUGUCAGAGAUCUGGCGUUUGCAAAAUAUGGUUGCCCUUAUCAAAGUAUGGUUGCCCUUAUCAUAAAGGUAUAUGCUUUAAUGAUAGGUUUCCCAGAACUCUAACAUGUGGAGCAGUUCACCACUGACACCCAUAUUCGCAACAAACCAAUUAGGUAGUUGGAUCUGUGAGCAGGCACAACUGUCUUAUAUGUCGCCAACACCUCUAACCAAGGUGGGUAUGAGACUUAGCAGACACCAGAUUAUAUUAUUUAUAUCCAGAACAAAAGAUUAAUCAAAGACAUACAAUAGACAACUGCUUCAUGCAGGGUCCAAACAAAGUGAAUUACAAGUGUUUUUUUAAAUUGAUUUAUUUCAGAAAUAUACACACAAAAUGACAUUGUAGACCUAAGAUGACAAAACAAGCAAGCCUUGGGAUGCACAUCAGAAUCAGGGACCUCAGGACAGCAAGCACUCAAAGGCGUACCUGUAUACUAAACAACCAG